Salvator merianae (Argentine black and white tegu) is the source of this 1684-nucleotide long non-coding RNA. The record is from Ensembl. NCBI's taxonomy places the organism in Eukaryota, Metazoa, Chordata, Lepidosauria, Squamata, Teiidae.
AACGUCUGGAUGCAGCCCAUGACAGAACGCCCUGAAACCAUACUGCAAGAACAGGCAUCACAAUUCUUUCUGUUGGAAAGAAUUCUAGGGAGAGAAAUGAGAAAAUUCAGUGACUUAGUGCCAGUCUAGGGAACUACCACGAACGCAAUUCCAAACAGGGUGGAUGAGACAGCCAUUCAGCCUUCCAUUCCACCAAGGGUUAAAGUCACUGAGCUUUGUUCCUAGAAAGGUAGGGAGUUUUUUUUAAAAAAAGAUGGAAUUGGCUGGGGGAGAAGAACACAAUCUGGGCAUACAGCCAUUGCCCAUUCGGAGGAAUAAACCUUGUGUUAAGUGAGAGAGGCGAAGACGAAGGGACACAGGUUUGUUCUUGUUUUUUCAUUGUUAUUUUUAAUUUUGGUCCCGACUGCGGAGAAAAGAAAGUUCCCAUCUAAGAUUCAUAUCUGAAGGUGAUGCUCAGUCCAAAUUUCACUGCGAAAUGCCGCAUGCAUAAUUGCGUUAUUUCUGGAAUGCAGGAUCCUUUUGGAAGCUUCGUCUGCACGCGAUGUGGAGCAGCGGGAAGGGGUCUCCAUGCAAAUAAAACGAAGGGCUGACAAGAUACACUUUCAUGCCAGGGGGAAAAAGCUGCAUCUGAGGACCUUCUCAAUAAUAGCCCCCAAGCUGAGGAAUGACCUCCCCUCUGAGGUGUGUCAACCAACAUCACUUUAUACAUUCCAGAAGUUUGUGUAGAUGCAUAUUUUUACCCACGCCUUUGUCUGAAGAGACUAUUCUCCUCCUCCUCCUCCUCCUCCUCCUCCUCCUCCUGGUUCUGUAUUUUUAAAAUUGUUGUAAAUUUCUAUUUUCAUGAAUGUAAUUAAUAGCAAAAUGAAGAAACAAACAGCACAGAUGUGAAUUUUGAGUGAAGAAGGGCCCUUUUGAGUUCCCAAGUUGCCUGAAUUUGCAGGUCUGUUUGCACUUUGUUGCUAGAGAUCAUCCAGAUACCCACGAGCAAAGUGCGUCAAUUAUCUCUGAAGAAAGAAGAAUUGCAAGGUUAUCUAUCCCACCCUACUGAAGAGGUAGAGACUAUCAUUUGGUACCUGCCUCUUUGCCUCUCUGGAACCUGGAAGCUUUGAGCGUACUCUUUCCUUCCUCCCACACCAAAGUUUAGUGUUGUCCUCAGAUCUUGGGACUGAGGAAACACCCUGCCUCCUUCUGCCUCCUGCUUCCUGCAACCAUAGUAAGAAGCCCCAGAUUCUCUGAAGAUCCCUGCCUUUUCCUCCUACCUCUAAGUCUUAUUUCCACACUGGUCUACAGCCUUGCUUAAGCUGAUUUCUCUGCUACGUUGCUUUGCUACUUUGCAGAGUUAAAUCACUGAGAAAAAGGGACCCUCCUUCUCCUUCCCUCACUACUUUCUGGCUACAAGGUACCCUUGGCUGGACAUCUGCUAGAGAUCCUAGGAUCUCUUUCCGCUGGUGCAAGAAGCCAAAUUCCUAUCUUUGCAACGUUGCCCAUUUCUUAUCUGUCUGCUUCCCAUCUCCACUUCAUGCCUGCUUUUGUCUUAAACUUACAUCCUCCAACUGUAUGGAUGUAAUAUCAUAUUUCCCAUAAUCCUCUGUUUCACAAUUCUCCAUUUAAACUUCACAAUUCUGACAUUUAUAAUUGGGCAGUUAUGUUCAUUUAGUAAAUAAAUAAUAAAUAACACAAGGCA